This 417-nucleotide ribosomal RNA is filed under the name uncultured prokaryote. RNAcentral describes it as "partial 16S ribosomal RNA". The record is from RNAcentral.
CCCUACGGGGUGCACCAGGCCUUGCAAAGGCUAUAAAAGAAUUGUACUUUAGCAGAAACCUUAUCUAUAGUGAAAAAAUCCUGGAUAUAUCUCAUCACCAACAAACGCAACGGGGUUCUCUAUACCGGGAUGACAGCCCACCUGAAGGAUCGGAUUACAAAUCAUAAAAUCAAAAAGUAUAAAAAUGCUUUUUCUGCCAGAUACAAUUUAUGCAAGCUGGUUUAUUAUGAAGAGUUUGAUGACAUAAGAAAGGCAUAUGCGCGGGAAGCCCAGAUUAAGGCAGGUGCCCGCAUAAAAAAAAUUAAGCUGAUCGAAUCAGUGAACCCCGAAUGGAAGAUCUUUAUGAAACACUUGAAUGAAAAAUUAACGGGAUUUCUUCGCACUCCUGCGGGCGGCGUGGGUCCCUGGCGGGAGGGC